Long non-coding RNA from Leptinotarsa decemlineata (Colorado potato beetle), 947 nucleotides. NCBI's taxonomy places the organism in Eukaryota, Metazoa, Arthropoda, Insecta, Coleoptera, Chrysomelidae. The record is from RefSeq and is a predicted model, not a curated record.
GCUAACAAUGAUUUCUUAUUAAUUUCAAAAAACUAGGCGGCUAGUAUUUUUUGUUAUUGUGAAAUGUCAUUAUUUCGAUUGAUGUUCAGUAACUGUUAAAUAUGACAGUACCGAGUUGUAUUAAUUCGUGAAUUUUCUGUAGUAUUGCUUCGAAUUAAUUUGAAGUAGGUAGGUGGCUAUGGAGACAGAUCGCGAACUCAGAUGGAAGUGUGUAACUUAUUUAAUGAAAAAUACCCAGAAAGACGCAUAACACAGUCAGCAGUAAGUAAGAUUGAAAAUAAAUUUCGAGAAACUGGUACAGUUAAAAAUGCAUGCAAAUCAGGUCUGUAAAUGAUGAUACAAAACUAGAUGUUCUACUUGCUUUUGAAGAAGAUGUGCACACUUCUGUUCGUAAGAUAGAAGAAUAGAAUUUUGUGAAGCCAUGAUGGAUAACUGUCACCGACACCGUCUCCUCGUAAAAAAUAUAACUUUCUGAUGAAGCCACUUUUACAUUAAAUGGUGCGGUCAACCGUCAAAAUUGUAGGUACUGGGCCAAAGAAAACCCCCACUGGAUGCGUGAGCAUCAUACAGAAUACCCGCAAAAGGUUUUUAUAAAACGACUUUUGGUUUUGGAAAUAUCGAGUUUAUUCCAUACUUUGAGGACACACUGUAUACCUAAGUUUCAACAAAUGAGAUAGUGACUUUUCAAACUAUAUUUUGCAGGACGGUUACUCAAGUUACGGCAAGAGUGGACAACAAUGUUUGAGGGCAACAUUUCUCAAACCACCUUCAGAAGAUCCUUACUGGUACGGGGUUUUUGCCGGAAUUUUGUUGAUGGUGUGGCUAGUGAUAACCAUAUUAUCGUUUGGCAGAACGAAAAGUUACAUCAGGUUACUGUUGUUGCUGGUAGUUCCAACCUUUGGCUGUUUUCUGGCCCUCUUCGUGAAAUCCAUGAUGCUACAAAAUGA